This 241-nucleotide ribosomal RNA is filed under the name uncultured Caulobacterales bacterium. RNAcentral describes it as "partial 16S ribosomal RNA". It matches the Rfam family "Bacterial small subunit ribosomal RNA", at positions 63 to 334 of the family's 1533-position model. Lineage: Bacteria; Pseudomonadati; Pseudomonadota; Alphaproteobacteria; Caulobacterales. The record is from RNAcentral.
CGAACGAACUCUUCGGAGUUAGUGGCGGACGGGUGAGUAACACGUGGGAACGUGCCUUUAGGUUCGGAAUAACUCAGGGAAACUUGUGCUAAUACCGAAUGUGCCUUCGGGGAAAGAUUUAUCGCCUUUAGAGCGGCCCGCGUCUGAUUAGCUAGUUGGUGAGGUAAAGGCUCACCAAGGCGACGAUCAGUAGCUGGUCUGAGAGGAUGAUCAGCCACAUUGGGACUGAGACACGGCCCAA